Molecule: long non-coding RNA, 302 nt
Filed under: Capsella rubella
Lineage: Eukaryota; Viridiplantae; Streptophyta; Magnoliopsida; Brassicales; Brassicaceae
Description: long non-coding RNA (CRUB_LNC003790)
Source: RNAcentral
CCUUAUUUAGGCAUGGACACUAAAAUGUGUGAUGGUUCAAAAAAAAACAAAAUACAAGUAUAUCACUGAAAUGACAUCCAUAGUAUCAAAUAAAAGUCAACUACUAUACAUGAUCUACCCUGGUACAAAAAAAAAGAGUUAUGUAAAUCAAUGAUUGUUCUAAACACUGAACAGCGAUGAUAACUUUUUUUUUCUUAUUUCAAUUCUAGAUCUCAAUAAUGCACUUAUUUCAAAAUCCAUAUUUUUGCAAAAUUAUAACAUAGGUGAUUUAAAAAAAUAUUUUGUUUAUAAAUCCUAUAACC